Molecule: ribosomal RNA, 515 nt
Filed under: uncultured bacterium
Lineage: Bacteria
Description: bacterial SSU rRNA
Rfam family: Bacterial small subunit ribosomal RNA
Source: RNAcentral
GAACGCUGGCGGCGUGCCUAAUACAUGCAAGUCGAACGGUCUUUCUAUGGAAGCUUGCUUCCACUGAGAAGAUAGUGGCGAACGGGUGAGUAACACGUGGGUAACCUGCCCAUAAGAGGGGGGAUAACAUCCGGAAACGGGUGCUAAUACCGCAUAGUUUUCUUGAUCGCAUGAUCGGGAAAGGAAAGACGGCCUUUGUGCUGUCGCUUAUGGAUGGACCCGCGGCGUAUUAGUUAGUUGGUGAGGUAACGGCUCACCAAGACGAUGAUACGUAGCCGACCUGAGAGGGUGAUCGGCCACAUUGGGACUGAGACACGGCCCAAACUCCUACGGGAGGCAGCAGUAGGGAAUCUUCCGCAAUGGACGAAAGUCUGACGGAGCAACGCCGCGUGAGUGAAGAAAGGUUUUCGGAUCGUAAAACUCUGUUGUCAGAGAAGAACAAGUUGGAGAGUAACUGCUCCAGCCUUGACGGUAUCUGACCAGAAAGCCACGGCUAACUACGUGCCAGCCGCAGC